AGAGUUUGAUCCUGGCUCAGGGUGAACGUUGGCGGCGCGCUUAAUACAUGCAAGUCGAGCGAGAAAGCAGCAAUCAUCUUCGGAUGUGCGCAGCGAGUAAAGCGGCGACCUGGUGAGUAACACGUGAUCUACCUACCUUUUCGUCAGGGACAACUAUUGGAAACAGUAGCUAAUACCUGAUAUGCCUUCGGGUGAAAGAGGCGUUUGCCUCGCGAGAAGAUGGGGUUGCGGCCCAUCAGCUUGUUGGUAGGGUAAUGGCCUACCAAGGCACUGACGGGUAGGGGGCCCGAGAGGGCGAUCCCCCACAUGGGGACUGAAAUACGGCCCUGACUCCUACGGGAGGCAGCAGUAGGGAAUCUUCCGCAAUGGACGAAAGUCUGACGGAGCGACGCCGCGUGGAGGAAGACGGCCUUCGGGUUGUAAACUCCUUUUAUAGGGGAAGAAUAAGGAUAUUAGGAAAUGAAUAUCCGAUGACGGUACCCUAUGAAUAAGCCACGGCUAACUCUGUGCCAGCAGCCGCGGUAAGACAGAGGUGGCGAACGUUACCCGGAUUUACUGGGCGUAAAGGGCGUCUAGGCGGCUUANCAAGUCUUCUGUGAAAGCCCCCUGCUUAACGGGGGGAGGCCAGUGGAUACUACUAAGCUAGAGGAUCGGAGGGGAAAGCGGUACUACUGGAGGA
RNAcentral lists this ribosomal RNA (679 nucleotides) under uncultured bacterium. RNAcentral describes it as "bacterial SSU rRNA". It matches the Rfam family "Bacterial small subunit ribosomal RNA", at positions 8 to 677 of the family's 1533-position model. The record is from RNAcentral.